This 498-nucleotide ribosomal RNA is filed under the name uncultured bacterium. Its description in RNAcentral is "partial 16S ribosomal RNA". It matches the Rfam family "Bacterial small subunit ribosomal RNA", at positions 28 to 507 of the family's 1533-position model. The record is from RNAcentral.
GACGAACGCUGGCGGCGUGCCUAAUACAUGCAAGUCGAACGAGAGCGACCGGUGCUUGCACUGGUCAAUCUAGUGGCGAACGGGUGAGUAACACGUGGGUAACCUGCCCAUCAGAGGGGGAUAACAUCCGGAAACGGAUGCUGAAACCGCAUAGGUCUUCGAGCCGCAUGGCUUGAAGAGGAAAAGAGGCGCAAGCUUCUGCUGAUGGAUGGACCCGCGGUGCAUUAGCUAGUUGGUGAGGUAACGGCUCACCAAGGCCGUGAUGCAUAGCCGACCUGAGAGGGUGAUCGGCCACAUUGGGACUGAGACACGGCCCAAACUCCUACGGGAGGCAGCAGUAGGGAAUCUUCCGCAAUGGACGCAAGUCUGACGGAGCAACGCCGCGUGAGUGAAGAAGGUUUUCGGAUCGUAAAACUCUGUUGUUAGAGAAGAACAAGUGCUAGAGUAACUGUUAGCGCCUUGACGGUAUCUAACCAGAAAGCCACGGCUAACUACGUG